CGCAACCUAGUUUUCAUCAGAACUCACCUGGGCAACGGUGCGCGAUUUCCUGAAUGUUUUCUGGGGAAAACGGGGUUCUGCUGCAGAAGUUAGCUUUUAACGAGGUGUGUGACACUGGACGGCGAAGUUCUAAUUAAUGAAGUUUUACUACAUUUGGGAUUUGGGCACUGCUUUGACAACAUCAAAAUAAUGAAUUCAGUACAAAAAUCACUUUUCCCCGGAGAUUUUAUUUAUUCAUGACAGACACAGAGAGAGAGGCAGAGACACAGGCAGAGGGAGAAGC
This is a long non-coding RNA of Canis lupus familiaris (dog), 283 nucleotides long. RefSeq lists it as uncharacterized. The transcript is spliced from 3 exons. The record is from RefSeq and is a predicted model, not a curated record. Lineage: Eukaryota; Metazoa; Chordata; Mammalia; Carnivora; Canidae.